RNAcentral lists this ribosomal RNA (564 nucleotides) under uncultured Brevundimonas sp. Its description in RNAcentral is "bacterial SSU rRNA". It matches the Rfam family "Bacterial small subunit ribosomal RNA", at positions 336 to 918 of the family's 1533-position model. The record is from RNAcentral. Lineage: Bacteria; Pseudomonadati; Pseudomonadota; Alphaproteobacteria; Caulobacterales; Caulobacteraceae.
UUCCUACGGGAGGCAGCAGUGGGGAAUCUUGCGCAAUGGGCGAAAGCCUGACGCAGCCAUGCCGCGUGAAUGAUGAAGGUCUUAGGAUUGUAAAAUUCUUUCACCGGGGACGAUAAUGACGGUACCCGGAGAAGAAGCCCCGGCUAACUUCGUGCCAGCAGCCGCGGUAAUACGAAGGGGGCUAGCGUUGCUCGGAAUUACUGGGCGUAAAGGGCGCGUAGGCGGAUCGUUAAGUCAGAGGUGAAAUCCCGGAGCUCAACUUCGGAAUUGCCUUUGAUACUGGCGAUCUUGAGUGUGAGAGAGGUAUGUGGAACUCCGAGUGUAGAGGUGAAAUUCGUAGAUAUUCGGAAGAACACCAGUGGCGAAGGCGACAUACUGGCUCAUUACUGACGCUGAGGCGCGAAAGCGUGGGGAGCAAACAGGAUUAGAUACCCUGGUAGUCCACGCCGUAAACGAUGAUUGCUAGUUGUCGGGCUGCAUGCAGUUCGGUGACGCAGCUAACGCAUUAAGCAAUCCGCCUGGGGAGUACGGUCGCAAGAUUAAAACUCAAAUGAAUUGACGGAA